CAGUUCCCACCUAUGAGUGAGAAUAUGCGGUGUUUGGUUUUUUGUUCUUGCGAUAGUUUACUGAGAAUGAUGAUUUCUAAUUUCAUCCAUGUCCCUACACGAACUUAUUCUAUUUUAAUAGAAUGUUCAGUAUCAGUGUUUUCACACUGAGAUUCUCUAGCUUAUUUUGCCAUAUUUAAAUUAAAAAGAAACAAAAAAUCCUGUUUGAUCAUGUGAAAAAUAUUUACUGAAAUGUGAAUAAAUUUAUGAUCAUUAAUUGCCUACUGAAAUAUUCCUGAAUAUUGCUCACCUUAUUAACAAGUAUAUAUGGAGACUGAAAAACAUGUAGAUCAUGCAAACAAGUGUAACUAACUAUACCAAAGAAACAAAAGUCCAUACUAAAUAUGUCCAUAAUUAAAUAAAAAAUGCUAAACAAGUUUUACCUAGAUAUUAUAAAAACAUAGAAAGGAAAACAUUUAGGAGAUGAUGAAGAAGCAGGAGAUUGGGAUGGGAGAUGUAAUUUGAUCUAAAUUCCCAUAUGCUUCUGUAAAAUCAAAAAUUCAUUUUGCAAUAUUAAUUUUGCUCUUAAGGUAGAGACUUUUAAAAUGACCAUUCUCAAUACUACAGCAAUUCUUCCCUGAUUUGCACAUAAAUGAAUUAAAGUGAAGAAAAAGCAGUAGAGGAGAGAAGACUAAAAUAAACCAGAUUGUAGCACCCUGUAAAGAGCUAAAAUCUCCAGUGUACAAACAACUGAUAGGAAAGAAGAGAAAAUCAGAACUAUAAAAAAGUGACAUAAGCUCAGAAAAUUACUCAUUUUUAAUUGUAUCAACAAAGAUAAUUUGUAAUUUUGAUCAUGCAAGCAUUAUAAUUACUGAUAAUUGGGCCUUUCAGCUUUUAAGUGCCUUCUCAAACAUGAGUUCUGCAUAUGGUUGUGCAGAAAUCAAAAUCUUAAAGAGAGAUGAGUAAAGUCAAGUUUGUAAUAUUAAUCUUAUAUUCUCAAUAUAGAUGCUAAUUAGUGCUCUGAAUGGUUGUGGUUAGAAAUCUUGUUGGUAUGAUGUAUCAGUGAUGUCACUGCAUUGAUGGAGACAGAAUAAUACAUAAUGGUGCAAUGUGGUGAUGGUAAGCUUUGUUACUCAAUAUUGUCAGGCACUUUAAGAAAAUCAGAAACAUUCAGGAUAGUGCCAAAGAAGAUCAGUUUUUCAAGACUCUAAAAUCAUAUUCAAUUAUAUGUGUAUGUAAUUAUAAAUAUGUGCAUCAUGGCUGACUUUGAGAAGAAUGCAGCGCCUUGCAAGUGCACUAUUUGAAUAGAGCUAAGGAGAACUAUAGUCUAAGGACUGCAAAAGUCUAGAUGGAGAAGACAAAAGCAAUGACACUUGUUUUCUCUACAGAACAAAUAGACAAAGAGGUGAAUGACAACAAAGAUGUUCAGAGAAACUUGAAAAAUAAGCUACGGUGUAGGAGACAGAUUCUCACUCUAUUGCCUAGGCUGGACUGCAAGUGGGGCCAUUAUAGCUCACUGAAGCCUCAACUUCCUGGGCUCAAAUGACCCUCUCGUCUCAGCCUCCCGAGUAGCUGGGACUACAGGUGCACAUCACCACAUCCAGUGUUAGAAAUAAAUAACGAAUGAAGAC
RNAcentral lists this long non-coding RNA (1610 nucleotides) under Homo sapiens (human). RNAcentral's name for it is "HSALNT0190278". Lineage: Eukaryota; Metazoa; Chordata; Mammalia; Primates; Hominidae. The record is from RNAcentral.